This 66-nucleotide transfer RNA is filed under the name Marmota monax (woodchuck). Its description in RNAcentral is "tRNA.Glu". Lineage: Eukaryota; Metazoa; Chordata; Mammalia; Rodentia; Sciuridae. The record is from RNAcentral.
GGUUGUGGCUCAGCGGUAGAUCGCUCGCCUCUCAUGUGUGAGACCCGGGUUCAAUCCUCAGCACCA